CGCUCGCGGGCUACUCUGACACCAAGGAGGGGGCGGUGAGCUGGCCGCUCCCGGGACCCGGCAAGAGCACACUCCAAGGCAGCCUGGCUGGCCCGCAGAGAUGGGGUCCCUCUGGAGAAGCAUUUGACCAUUUUUACUUCCAAAACUUUCUUCUGGAUGCCAGUUGCACACAAGUAAACUAAAGAGGAGUAAGUGUGUCUGUGGCAGAAAAAGUGCUGUGUGAAUUCCUCCCAAUGUACCCGAAGUGCUGAUGUUUCUGCACAUGGUCUUGAUACUGGGUUCCACAAAAUAUGAAUGGGCUGUCAUGUUAUUUUGGAUCAACUCAAGCAGAAGAGCAUCUCAAAACAUCAACAUUUUGGAAAUGUAUUGGGAUAUAGAGGCAAACGUCACAACAGUGCUUCAUUGGAUUUAAAUACAAGGUGAUUGUCAGCAUUAGCUUGUAUAUUGGGGUCCGCUUGAGAACUGGAUCCACUCAUUGAAUCAUCACUGGUUCUUUACCAAUACCCAUUUCCCCUUUUUUCCUUACCAAGUGAACCUGGAUUUAUUCGGGACAGGUAUGUGCCCAGUUAAAAUCCCUUAUCUCCCAGAUUCUUUUACAUUUAAGACAAUGUGACCUGCUUUUACCCAGUGGUUUGUGUGCAGAACUCUACUGAGUAAGGCCAGGAGGAUAGCUGUUAUUUUCCUAUAAGAAGGGACAAAU
Ictidomys tridecemlineatus (thirteen-lined ground squirrel) is the source of this 700-nucleotide non-coding RNA. The record is from RefSeq and is a predicted model, not a curated record. NCBI's taxonomy places the organism in Eukaryota, Metazoa, Chordata, Mammalia, Rodentia, Sciuridae.